Molecule: ribosomal RNA, 101 nt
Filed under: Enterobacter cloacae
Lineage: Bacteria; Pseudomonadati; Pseudomonadota; Gammaproteobacteria; Enterobacterales; Enterobacteriaceae
Also listed under: 41 other names
Source: RNAcentral
GCGGUGGUCCCACCUGACCCCAUGCCGAACUCAGAAGUGAAACGCCGUAGCGCCGAUGGUAGUGUGGGGUCUCCCCAUGUGAGAGUAGGGAACUGCCAGAC